AAGUUUGCAACGUGCUCAAGUUAAGAUGGUAAACACUGAGAUGAAUUGGUAACUACGAAGCAGAAGCCACCAUGAUCCGACUCGACGGUGAUCAACAGACACUCCUCCGGACAACUGCUUGUGGAUGUACACACGGCAGGGACUAGUAAAUGUAAUGAAAUUCUAAAUUUAUUUUUCAAUACUGUUCUAUAGCAGAUAUUACCAAGAUAUUAAGAAGACAAGCCAAAAAAAAUGGAUAGGAAAAAAUGCAAAAGACGUUGAGAAUAGUUAUCUAAAAUCUAUAAGUAAUUCUUAAAAGUCAACAAUAAGAAAACGAAUAAUUGGCUCACUGCUGCAGCCGUGCCUCCUUGUUCUCAGCGUCACCACUGCCGCCAUGCCAGGAGGGUUGCUUCUCGGGGAAGAGGCCCCCGACUUUGAGGCCGAUACCACCAUCGGCCGCAUCCGCUUCCACGAUUUCCUGGGAGAUUCAUGGGGCAUUCUCUUUUCCCACCCACAGGACUUUACCCCUGUGUGCACCACAGAACUUGGCAGAGCUGCAAAGCUGGCGCCAGAGUUUGCCAAGAGGAAUGUUAAGUUGAUUGCUCUUUCAGUAGACAGUGUUGAGGACCAUCUUGCCUGGAGCAAGGAUAUCAAUGCUUACAAUGGUGCACCACCCAGAGAAAAGUUGCCAUUUCCCAUCAUUGAUGAUAAGGACAGGGACAUUUCCAUCCUUUUGCGCAUGUUGGAUCCAGCAGAGAAGGAUGCUGACGGCAUGCCUGUGACGGCCCGUGUGGUGUUCGUUUUUGGCCCUGACAAGAAACUAAAGAUGUCUAUCCUCUACCCUAACACCACAGGCAGGAACUUUGAUGAAAUUCUCAGAGUGAUUGACUCUCUCCAGCUGACAGAAACAAAGCCUGUUGCCACCCCAGUUGAUUGGGAGGUGGGAGAGAGAGUGAUGGUCCUUCCUGACCUCUCCGAAGAGGAAGCCAAACGAUGUUUCCCUAAAGGAGUCUUCACCAAAGAGCUCCCGUCUGGCAAAAAUUACCUCCGUUAUACACCCCAGCCUUAAGUCUUUGCAGGAAUUGGGGCUGCAUCUGCGCGCCCAGCACUGGGAUUUGAAGUAAGCUGACAGCAGUGGGUCUUUGCAGCAGUUCCGUAGAAAGAUGGUGGCAUGAUCACAGCGGGUCCUAUAAAUCGCUCGCUAUACUAUUGGGUCAUUAAAUGGAAAUGGCACCAAA
Mus pahari (shrew mouse) is the source of this 1217-nucleotide RNA transcript. It is a transcript of the gene named peroxiredoxin-6 pseudogene, with no coding region annotated. The record is from RefSeq and is a predicted model, not a curated record. NCBI's taxonomy places the organism in Eukaryota, Metazoa, Chordata, Mammalia, Rodentia, Muridae. The transcript has a single exon.